Molecule: RNA transcript, 1852 nt
Organism: Vitis riparia (riverbank grape)
Lineage: Eukaryota; Viridiplantae; Streptophyta; Magnoliopsida; Vitales; Vitaceae
Gene name: putative anthocyanidin reductase
Exons: 9
Source: RefSeq, a predicted model, not a curated record
AGACCCCGGGAAGACUCUAGAUAAGUCUGACAAACCUAACAAAAAAGGAAUAAAAACAUUUGUCACGCACAUGCGUCGGCGGCACCACAGCUGGCCACCGUCACAAGGCGGAGAAAUCCACUCGGUGCCUUUCUUCUUCCACCUUCUGCCUUCUUCAUCAGAUUCAACUUUCCCUUUUGGAGGUUGGUUUUUUUGGUAGCUGGGAUUUUGCAGGAAAAUAAAGGAAUGGAAAAUGGUUCAGAGAGGAAGGUGGAGGGGAAAAGAGAGGAGAAAAUGAGGUUUUGUGUGACUGGUGCAACCGGGUAUAUCGGAUCUUGGCUUGUCAACACUCUCCUUCAAAGAGGCUACAUGGUUCAUGCCACUCUCCGUGAUCCUGAGAAGGCUGCACAUCUUUUACCCUUAUGGAGCGGCUGUGACCGAUUGAGAUUGUUCAAAGCUGAUUUGCUGAACGAAGGGAGCUUUGAUGAGGCCGUAAAGGGCUGCAAUGGUGUAUAUCAUGUUGCAGCUUCAAUGGAAUUCAACGUCAUGGCCACAGAGAAUAUUGAGGCUUACGUUCAAUCAAAUAUCAUCGACCCUGCAAUCAAAGGAACAUUGAAUCUUCUCAAAGCCUGCCUAAAAUCAGAAACUGUAGAGAGGGUUGUGUUCACAUCUUCUAUCAGCACCAUCACAGCCAAGGACAGCUUAGGAAGAUGGAGAGCUGUAGUUGAUGAAUCAUGCCAGACCCCCAUUGAUCAUGUCUGGAAGACGAGAGCGGGUGGUUGGGUUUAUGUGCUCUCAAAGCUUCUGACAGAGGAAGCUGCAUUCCAGUUUGCAAAGGAGAAGGGCAUUGAUCUUGUGUCGGUAAUAACAACUACUGUUGGUGGUCCAUUUAUCACUUCCUCUGUUCCAUCAAGCAUUCGAGUUCUCUUGUCGCCAAUAACAGGUGAACCCGAGUUUUUUUCCAUAUUAUCUGCUGUGAAUUCCAGAAUGGGGUCAUUGGCUUUAGUUCACAUAGAGGAUAUAUGCAAUGCCCAUAUAUUCUUGAUGGAGCAGGCUAAAGCAGAAGGUCGAUACAUAUGUGGUGUUCAAAGUUAUCAAAUGUCUGAAUUGAUCAAUCAUCUGGCUAAAGUGUACCCUUGCUCAAAUAUUCAAAGGUUGGUGGAGGAAGAAUGUGGUUCAGCGCCUUCUGAAAUUUGCUCUAAGAAGUUAAAUGAUUUGGGCUUCAACUACAAGUACGGCUUAGAAGACAUUAUCCAACAGACAAUUAAUUGUUGUUUAGAUCAUGGAUUUCUACCUCAGAUUAGAAGAUGAGAAGUCCCUAGUGGUUCAUAAUCAGUCAGAAGAUGGAAAUAAUAUUGAGUAUGGCUCUGCAAGAGGGCAGGCCGUCAGAUGGAUACCAGUCUAAAUCAAACGAGGAGAUAAAAAGAGGAGGAGAGAUGGGUCCCUGACCUUAUCUUCAAUGUUAGCUACUCCCACAUCAAGAGGAUGAACAAGCCCCAGAGCAAACCUGACAAUCAAAGCGUGAGAACAACAUUUACAGCACAAAAUCAAAAAACAAAAAAUUUUAUGCAAGGACAGGGAAGGAAGAGACAAAAAAUCAUCCUGGACAGAGAGCAUAUGCUGUUCAAUCCUACCUCAUUUUUGGACUACCCUCUGUUUUGUAACAUACCUAUCAAGCAAGGACCACAUUCCCUUUUCCAACCCAAUAAUACUAGUCACAAGUUAUAUUCAUUAGCUCAGAACUACUAAUAGCAAAGUAAUAUAGAAACCAUACUUAGUAGUAAUGUUCCCCUAAUCACAAUCCACCAAUGUGUAAAUCACAUGGAACCUAAGCUUGAUUUAUUUAACUAAUGGGAUUAUUCUCUUCCUACUA